GACUUAAAAUUCGUUGGCUUUAUAGAACGUGAG
This 33-nucleotide transfer RNA is filed under the name Diphasiastrum alpinum. RNAcentral describes it as "partial transfer RNA-Leu". Lineage: Eukaryota; Viridiplantae; Streptophyta; Lycopodiopsida; Lycopodiales; Lycopodiaceae. The record is from RNAcentral.